ACUUGCUUUUACAAAUAAGCUUUAGUUUUGCUGAUAAAUAAAAUUAGACAUUGAAAGAUGAAAGAAACAAUGAGGAAAAACCCUAAAUUCUGUAAAAAUUAAAAAUUAGAAGGGAGGGGAGGGUCAUACAUUGGAGGGAAAUCUCUGGUAUCAAGCAUUCUGGGAAGUCUGUACUCUCAAGUAUCUCAGGCAAUGGGGAAGAGAGAAGGGAAAUGCAGCCGGGAAAUUAGAAUAAAAGAGGAGGCUGUAUCCUCCAAAAUUUGGAGACACCCCAGGGGAAUGCCUCAUGGCCUCUCCCUUUAUUAGAAUAAAGUAAAAGGACUUCUCUGUCUCCUUUUUUGGACAUAAACCUCUGAUGUCUGUGGAUUAAUUUUUCUAACAGACUUAAUGUACCAACAGACUGGGAGGAGCCCAUAGAAACCCAGAAAAAUAAAAGGCCACCAACAGAGCAUCAGUGGCCAUCUACCAACAUCUACCCCAGACUCUGCCAGAGUUGGAGACAUCUCCUCCGGAAAGGACUUAUAAAAAAAUCAAAGGAUGAAGAUCUAAUUAACAUCAAAGGUGAAGGUGGAACCAGCCAGUGAUGCCACAGGAGAGAAUCUCCCAACCCAACAGCAGGAGCCACAUGACUUCCACCAGUAACUAUAGCAACCCAGAGCAAAUAAAUGCUAUUUUCAAACCA
Molecule: non-coding RNA, 682 nt
Organism: Lonchura striata (white-rumped munia)
Lineage: Eukaryota; Metazoa; Chordata; Aves; Passeriformes; Estrildidae
Source: RefSeq, a predicted model, not a curated record